GCCUGGGCCCGGCCCGGCCCGCCUCAUUGUUGUCGGCUCCUGAGAUGAACUACAUUCUGUUCUUGGAGAAAAUUUUGCAGAGUUGUUGCAAAACAGCAUGGACUUUGUCCAAUUGUCUGGAUAAAGGAAGAUUCCAUGCCUUUCCUUUAUCUCAAUGACUGUUAGUCCAAUUGCAGCACAUUUAAAAACAACUCUCAUUGACCAAAGCGCUGUACAUCGGUGCAGGUACUAACGUCCUACCUACGUUACGUGCUACAUACUCCUCAAAUAAGGAGGAAGAGAAUUAAUAAGGAUGUGAGGAAGACCAAUCUUCCAGAGUGUGUGGUUGGAAUCUGGUGUGCAGCACCUGAGGAUGUGGUGGAAGCAGAUUCUGUUGCAGUCUUCUCAACAUAAUUGGAAGAAGGAUCCCAACUCAAAACGUCACCUAUGCAUGAUCUCCUGAGAUGCUGCUUGACUCGCUGAAUCACUCCAGCACAUUGUGUACUUUUGUGUAAACCAGUAUCUGCAGUUCCUUGUUUCCACUAGAUUAAUAUAUAAUUUAGGAAAAUCAGGUUUUGACAAUAGGUGGAUUGUAAACUGAUAGAACGAUAUAAACUGGAUAUGUUCAAGAGGCGUCAGUCUAAAACUAUCCUCCAGCUCACAAAAUUAUUUUCUUGACUUUUUGUCAAAUUGUGGAAAUAAUAUAUAUGGCAGUGUUUUGUUAUGUGCCUAUUUAAUAAAAGCAUGUUCUUCAGUGAAGUCAGCCCUUAUUUACUAUUAGAAUCAACCAUGGCUCAGUGAAUAGCACCUUCAUGUCGUAGAGUUCUUUGCAUAGAGUUCUUUGUUCAAUUCAUGCUCCGGGGAUUUGAGUGCAGAUCUAAUCGACAUGGAGAGAGGGUUUCAAUCUGAGGCUUGGAGGUCUCGCCUGCUGCUCCUUUUUGAUUAGAAAUAUGCCGUGAUGCUCUCAAACAAAUGGAGAAUGUCCUCCCUGAUCUCUCGUACUAUAUUUCAUUCAAUAUCAGUAAAAACCAUUGUUCUGUUCAAUGUGAUAUUGUGAUAUGUGGGAACUCGCUAUGUGCAAAUUGGCAAAUGCUUUUUCUGUGCAGGGAGCAAUGGCCAUAUGUCAAAAGUAUACCAUUGACUGUAAAGCACUUAGGGGC
This is a long non-coding RNA of Leucoraja erinaceus (little skate), 1139 nucleotides long. RefSeq lists it as uncharacterized. NCBI's taxonomy places the organism in Eukaryota, Metazoa, Chordata, Chondrichthyes, Rajiformes, Rajidae. The record is from RefSeq and is a predicted model, not a curated record. The transcript has 3 exons.